Molecule: long non-coding RNA, 306 nt
Filed under: Canis lupus familiaris (dog)
Lineage: Eukaryota; Metazoa; Chordata; Mammalia; Carnivora; Canidae
Description: lncRNA (ENSCAFG00040021760.1)
Source: RNAcentral
GCCGUGGCAUAAACCCUAACAGUGAUUUCAUGUGAUUAGAGACUUCUGUGCUCUGAAGAAGCCCGGGAGGUGAGACUCCGAGAAGAGAGGAGUUCAUUUACCCCAGUCUCCAGAGAUCGCAGCGGUGGCUUUGCUCUGUGUGUCCUUCUGACCCAGCUCCGUGGGAUGAAAAUGUGCUACUUCCAGGACCAACCAAAGGAAUUCUGAUAUGUACACCUUUGUGGGUGACAAAGAUGGAGACCAUGGUGCACUGCAGAGGUUACAUGAAUUGAAGAUGGCAGUGCCUUUGGGUGGAUUCCAUUAAGA